GUGGAAAGAGGCGUGAGAGCGACGCCGCCACUGACUAAUGGGGAGAGCCGUUGGUGUGGGGUGGGAGUAAGAGCGACUGCGAUUGGUGGAACGAGCCUGGGCUCCGCAGGGGGCAGCGCCGGGGUCUGUGGAGUCAGGCGCAGCAAGAUGGCGACCGAGACGGUGGAGCUCCACAAGCUGAAGAGCACUCCUUAAACUUUGGGAGGUCACAGAUAUCUUUGAAACUCUGAUGAAAGCUUGCUGAACUAAAGCAAGAAUGUCUUGCUCGUGGUUUAGAGACCAAGGGAAUAAAACAAGAUCUUAUCAAUAGGCUCCAGGCAUAUCUUGAAGAACAUGCUGAAGAGGAAGCAAAUGAAGAGGAUGUGCUGGGAGAUGAGACGGAGGAAGAAGAACCAAAGCCCAUAGAACUACCUGUUAAAGAGGAAGAACCUCCUGAAAAAGCUGUUGAUGUGGCAUCGGAAAAGAAGGUGGUAAAAAUCACAUCUGGAAUCCCUCAGACGGAAAGAAUGCAGAAGAGGGCUGAACGAUUCAAUGUCCCCGUGAGCUUGGAGAGUAAGAAGGCGGCGCGGGCAGCUAGGUUUGGAAUUUCUUCUGUUCCAACAAAAGGUCUGCCAUCUGACACCAAGCCUAUGGUUAACCUGGAUAAACUAAAGGAAAGAGCACAGAGAUUUGGUUUGAAUGUCUCUUCCAUCUCUAGAAAGUCUGAGGAUGAUGAGAAGCUGAAAAAGAGGAAGGAGAGAUUUGGGAUUGUGACAAAUUCAGCUGGAACUGGAACUACUGAGGAUACAGAGGCAAAGAAAAGGAAAAGAGCAGAGCGUUUUGGGAUUGCAUAAUGAAAAGUUCAUGCUUUCUGCCCCAUAGUGGUUUCCAUUUCUCAAAUUCUUCUUGGUUUUUUAUAUAUACACACAUACACACAUACACACACACACACACACACACACACACACACACACACACACAGAGUCAUGUGCCUCACAGUGAGGAAGUGUGUACCUUGGGUACAUCCUUGAAUUCCAGCAGCAGUUUGAUUUAACUGCUGCUCUGCAUUUAAGGUUGUUAUAUUUUUGUUUUUAAUUAUUUUGCUUAUUAAUAAAAAAAAAAAAAGAAAGAAAAGAGAACAUGUGUUUUAUUAGGUGCUCCUUUAAAUUCCUAGAGCCAGGUUAGGAAGACCACACAGAGAGAGUGUCAGUGGCAGAUAUUAGGGGGAAUUAACUGUAAUGCCUUCAUCCCAUGGAAAAAAAGAUAAGAAAAGAUUGAGUCUACCUUUUAAGCCUAUUUAUUAUCUUUUUCAUACCCACAGAUAUGCUUUUAUUUAUUUUUCAUGAUGAGGCCAAGUCACCCAAAGGUUGAAAUAGCCAGGUGGUAGUGGUGCAUGUCUUUAAUCCCAGCACUCAGGAGGCAG
This is an RNA transcript of Onychomys torridus (southern grasshopper mouse), 1402 nucleotides long. It is a transcript of the gene named SAP domain containing ribonucleoprotein, with no coding region annotated. The record is from RefSeq and is a predicted model, not a curated record. NCBI's taxonomy places the organism in Eukaryota, Metazoa, Chordata, Mammalia, Rodentia, Cricetidae. The transcript is spliced from 12 exons.